UGAGUUGCUCUGCAGCAUCUUGUGCAAAGCCUAACCUGACUCCUCAGCCUCCGGACUGGGGAGAGCUGACUAUUCAAGAUAUCUGCAUGGUUCAGAGGUGCGAGUCCCAUGAUUUAAAUCAGAGUCGCACAGCAAAAUGCAUCAAAUGCUUUCAGCACUGAAAUAGCAGGGGUGAAGCCAUCACACGUGCCUUAUUUUCCUUUAUCAGUUUGGUUCGUGUGCAGCAUGAACAUCAACCUGGGACUCUGCUCACCGUGGCUUCCCCAAGCCUUCACGGAAGGAAUAAACCUCAGCCUAAGAGCACAGCCCGGAUUAGGAGUAGCACCUCGAUUCCUCAGUGCUUYUGUGCUGCAGAAACUGCAAGUGAAAGCUGUCUGGUGAGGUCAGGGUGCUGUGCAUCACCUCCUCAGGAAAGUGCCUUUGCUGUGAAAAGGAAGGAAAUAAGAACACUAAGUGCUGCAGCACACUGCAACAACCUCUGCCAGAGAAGUCUCCAGAUGUGAUGACGAACAGCAGUGCUGUGUCUCUGAGGGUGCUCUUGUCCCUGUCAACCGGUGAAAUCUUGGUAGAGCUGCAUAACUUGACGCACAUGCGUGGAAAGGGUGUGCACAGCUCCAAGGGACACACAGGGAGCAGCAGUGCAGAAUUCCUCACAUCCCAUCCAAGCAGAAAUCUUUGCAGUGGCUGUUUUUGCUGGCAUCUGCUUUCCCUGUUAACUUGUGUGSAUGUCAGCGAGAUUGUUCGGAUAAAGAUAUUUCCAACUUGGAUAAACACCGAGAAGUGGAGUUGCUAAUCCAGAGUGAACCAUUCCUAGAAGGUUCAGGGAAUUGCUGUGCUGUCUACAUUUAAAUUGGAAGCUUUACAUGAGGGUUGCACCUCUGGAGCUCCACUGAUUCACCUGGGAUGGCUGGAGAUGUUUCCAGCUCCUGUUUUCUGGACCAGAGGGACAGUGAGAGCCCCACACGGCCCAUCUGAGCUGCAGUGUCACCCUGUCCUGCCUUGUGCAGAGCACAGAGAUCUCUGGAAGUGAAUAAAUUAGGCAGCAUUUGCCCUUUGGUGAGGAAGGACAAGAGCCUAAUUUAGAUCUACAAAGCUAAGCAGUGAAACCAAAGCCAUCCUUGGAGAACAAACUUGUCUGGAGAGAAGUGCUUCUGUUCUCUAAUUUAAAAUCUAUCUUCUUGGAUCUCAAGGGAAGCUAAGGCUGCCUCUUUGCUCCUUCUGUGUUCUUUACAAUAAUGUCUUGCAUUUACAAAKAAGAAGCUGAGGUUCAUUUGAUUUGUAACAAGAAGUCUCCGACAGUUGUAGGCCUGCCUGCUGUAAUGAGGUCUUAACUUACUGAUUUGCUGCCCUUCCAUUUUCAGAGAGUGGCACAUUUUGUUUGCUUUUAGCAGGCCAGAAUCACAAUUUCCUUGUUGACUUAAUAAUAAUGAGUCUUGUUCAGAUACCCACAAGACAUGUCUGGCUGACUGGGGAAGAAACAAGAAAUGGAGAAAAUACAGAGUAAAAGAAGUGCCUGGAUUAGAGCAACUUCUCACCAAGCAUCACUUGCCAGAAAGACCAUCACCACAUCAUGSAGAGAGGUGGGAACCCACCAGGAUAUAAAGCAACGACAAGGUGAUGAGAGAAUUCCCCCUGCUCUGCAACAGCCCACCCAGACGUAAACACGAUCUGAGGUUCCCCGGAGCUUUAUUAUGGAGCUAAUCCUGCAAGGAGCUCAGCUCCCGGCUCAGUAAUGCRUGAGGAUUUCAAGGAAACACAAUAGCUUAAUGCAUUAGAGCUCUUGCGCUUGGAUUCAAAUCCUAAUCAGCUCACGGAGAGGAGGGAGAGCGAUUGCAUUAGCAGACGGGUCCUGCUGUGAGGCUCCGUGGCCGUGGAACAUCUCGGCAUGGUCGGAGCUGGGGGCUGCCAUGGGCCUGGAUGAUGGAGCACCCCAAGAAUCCCAACGAUUGUGUUCACAUAGAGUCAAAUCUCUUGGCUUGGUCUUUCUCCGUGGGGCUCCUGAUUUUCCACAGCGACAGAGCUCUGCAUGGGACCUGUGGAUUCAUCCUCUGUGGGAAUAUGGCUGGGCCUGGAUGUCAAGAGGAAGAUCUGCAGGCUCUGAAACCCAAUUUACCAACAUCCCUUGUUCUUCCACUGCCUGGAGCCAUCUCCACGAGAUUCCUCAGCAGAAGGUGAAAAUUAGCAGUGUCUGUGGGGGUCUGGGCUGCACCACCAGCUCCAGCCUGGUGCUUCAGCUGGAGGGAAGCUUCAUAUCUUGCCAUUAAAAGACCCAUGACCAUAUUUACUGCUUCGAAAGCAAGCACUACCUAUGCCUGCUUUUUUCAUCCAUCAUUUUGACUCCAUACAGGUGUCUCGGCUUCCACCCAUGGCCAGAAGGCUCCUCUGCAGUGCCUGGGUCURAUGCAGUUCAAAGUGUCUUUCGAUGCCUUCUGACACUCCACAGAAAAUCUGAAACACAUCAGAACAAACCA
Long non-coding RNA from Nothoprocta perdicaria, 2471 nucleotides. RefSeq lists it as uncharacterized. The transcript is spliced from 6 exons. The record is from RefSeq and is a predicted model, not a curated record. Lineage: Eukaryota; Metazoa; Chordata; Aves; Tinamiformes; Tinamidae.